GUUGACCUCGGAUCAGGUAGGGAUACCCGCUGAACUUAAGCAUAUCAAUAAGCGGAGGAAAAGAAACCAACAGGGAUUGCUCUAGUAACGGCGAGUGAAGCAGCAAUAGCUCAAAUUUGAAAUCUGGCGUCUUCGACGUCCGAGUUGUAAUUUGUAGAGGAUGCUUCUGAGUAACCACCGACCUAAGUUCCUUGGAACAGGACGUCAUAGAGGGUGAGAAUCCCGUAUGCGGUCGGAAAGGUGCUCUACACGUAGCUCCUUCGACGAGUCGAGUGUGUGGGGAAA
RNAcentral lists this ribosomal RNA (285 nucleotides) under Cladosporium cladosporioides. RNAcentral's name for it is "partial 28S ribosomal RNA". It matches the Rfam family "Eukaryotic large subunit ribosomal RNA", at positions 1 to 281 of the family's 3401-position model. The record is from RNAcentral. Lineage: Eukaryota; Fungi; Ascomycota; Dothideomycetes; Cladosporiales; Cladosporiaceae.